GUGCUUGCUUUGGCUGCACAUGUACUAAAAUUGAAAGGACACAGAUUAUCAUGGCCCCUGCAUAAGGAUGACAUACAAAUUCAUGAAGCAUUUCAUAUUAAA
Molecule: small nuclear RNA, 102 nt
Organism: Nycticebus coucang (slow loris)
Lineage: Eukaryota; Metazoa; Chordata; Mammalia; Primates; Lorisidae
Source: RefSeq, a predicted model, not a curated record